AUGAUAUGUUUCAACUGUGGUGGUCAUGGGCAUCAUGUUGGUAAUUGUGUUAGGCCUAAAGUUUGUUUUAUCUAUCAGCAAUCCCACAAUGUCAACAAUUGCUCUGCUUGGUCUAGGGUUCAGCCCACUGCAGCUUUCUUUGGUAGUGGUGCUAGUGGUCUGGGAUUCUACCAUGUUGAGGUUCUUGUGGCAAAUGAAUCCAAAUGGCUUAACUUUCAAAAUGGUGGUGUGGUUAACAUUACCAAAGGUGAAGUGGACAAGGAAAAGUUGUUGAGUCUUCUGACUGCCACAUUCUGCAAAACCAGAGCUUGGCCUUGGCAGAUUAGAGAAUUGUCCAAUAAAGAAUAUCUGGUUAGAUUCCCUCCCUGAAAGAAAGUAGAGGACUUAAUUGAACUUCAUGGGUUCAGUUUGCCUCAAGAUGUAUCUGUCAAGAUGAAUGAAUGGGUUGGGUCGUGUGACCCCUUUGGAGAACUAACUGAGGCUUAGGUGCUGAUUGAGGGGAUCCCCCCUAAAUGGUGCUCUUGGAAAGUGUUUGCACAAAUUGCAUCCAUGUUUGGUGUGCUGACUGAUGUUGAUUGGAAUGGCAUGCUUAGGACAUUCUUUGAAAAUGUGAGGAUUAAGACUGCUUGCAGAAACCCUAGUAAAAUCCCUUUUGAGAGACUGAUUGAGAUGAAGAAGAAGUUAUUUCUGCUUGGUUUCACUGUAGAAGGCUUUGAGCAGGUGGGAGGUAAAGGAUCUGUGGUGGAAAUUGAAGAUGAGGAAGAGGAUGAUGACAUUGAUGAGGACAAUGGUAAUCAGGGACAGCAUGAUCUACCCAAGAAUGAUGAACAUGAUGAUCUCAUUGAUGAUGACACUGCCAUUGAUGAGCUUGAUAAAGCAAAUCUAACAACCAGGGGUGUCAAUGGAUCUUCUGCUGGAAAAAAAAUCCUGUAA
Molecule: ribosomal RNA, 933 nt
Filed under: Triticum aestivum (bread wheat)
Lineage: Eukaryota; Viridiplantae; Streptophyta; Magnoliopsida; Poales; Poaceae
Description: partial small subunit ribosomal RNA
Source: RNAcentral